CUACCCGCCUGUCCGUCAGUACACAUAUGAGCGCUGUGAUCGCAGAAACUAUAAAAACUUGAAAGUUGAGAUUAGGGACGUAGAUUGGUGAUUCUGGGGAUGUUGACGCAGCGCAGGUUUGCUUUAAAAGAUUGACACGCCCACAAACAGCCCAAAACUUUCAAGCCAUUUAAUUUUUUAAUUUCUCUUUCCAUUUCCUGUUCAUAUGCCAAUAUAAUGUUGGCAACGCGCACACUUCUGUCCCUAUUUGACCAAAAUGAUGCAAUUUCUCCUCAGCAUUAGCUGAGCAAUGUAUUUUUGAUUUUCGGCUAUAGAGUCUGCUCUUGCCUCUACUGUGGAUGGAAAUGCGACUUUGCUGUAAUCGACCGGUCAUACCACCUGAUACCACCACCACCAAAUCAAAACUAUCACAAAUACUAAACGGUUACCAUGUAUUAAAGAAAUACAAACGCUUAGAAAGAGAAGCGAGGAAAGUGUAAUAAUUAAAAAUGU
Molecule: non-coding RNA, 492 nt
Organism: Drosophila melanogaster (fruit fly)
Lineage: Eukaryota; Metazoa; Arthropoda; Insecta; Diptera; Drosophilidae
Source: Ensembl